Molecule: transfer RNA, 72 nt
Filed under: Cricetulus griseus (Chinese hamster)
Lineage: Eukaryota; Metazoa; Chordata; Mammalia; Rodentia; Cricetidae
Rfam family: tRNA
About the family: Transfer RNA (tRNA) molecules are approximately 80 nucleotides in length.
Source: Rfam by way of RNAcentral
UGGGAUUUAGCUCACUGGUAGAGGGUUUACUUAGCAUGCACAAGAUCCUAGGUUCAAUUCCUAGUAUUGCAA